This 468-nucleotide ribosomal RNA is filed under the name uncultured bacterium. Its description in RNAcentral is "partial 16S ribosomal RNA". It matches the Rfam family "Bacterial small subunit ribosomal RNA", at positions 28 to 507 of the family's 1533-position model. The record is from RNAcentral.
GACGAACGCUGGCGGCGUGCUUAACACAUGCAAGUCGAACGGAAAGGCCCUGCUUUUGUGGGGUGCUCGAGUGGCGAACGGGUGAGUAACACGUGAGUAACCUGCCCUUGACUUUGGGAUAACUUCAGGAAACUGGGGCUAAUACCGGAUAGGAGCUCCUGCUGCAUGGUGGGGGUUGGAAAGUUUCGGCGGUUGGGGAUGGACUCGCGGCUUAUCAGCUUGUUGGUGGGGUAGUGGCUUACCAAGGCUUUGACGGGUAGCCGGCCUGAGAGGGUGACCGGCAACAUAGGGACUGAGAUACGGCCCAGACUCCUACGGGAGGCAGCAGUGGGGAAUAUUGCACAAUGGGCGGAAGCCUGAUGCAGCAACGCCGCGUGCGGGAUGACGGCCUUCGGGUUGUAAACCGCUUUCGCCUGUGACGAAGCGUGAGUGACGGUAAUGGGUAAAGAAGCACCGGCUAACUACGUG